Ornithorhynchus anatinus (platypus) is the source of this 560-nucleotide non-coding RNA. NCBI's taxonomy places the organism in Eukaryota, Metazoa, Chordata, Mammalia, Monotremata, Ornithorhynchidae. The record is from the annotation of a RefSeq genome assembly.
GGGAGAGGACCCCCAGAUCCUGUCUGUGCUGUUCCCUUCCUGCCCCCAGAACUGUCCUCAUAGCCCUCACCAUGCAGUCUGCUGUCAGUCUGCUUUCUAUCCUGGCACUGCUCCAAGGUGUGCAGGGUGAUGUCCAGCUGGUGGAGUCCGGGGGAGACUUGAGACAGCCUGGCGGGUCUCUGAGCCUCUCCUGUAAAGCCUCUGGAUUAACCAGCAGCUACUACAAUAUGCACUGGGUCCGCCAGGCUCCAGGGAAGGGGCUCGAGUGGGUCGCUAGAGUUUAUAGUAAUGGUGGUAGCACUAACUAUGCGGACUCUGUGAAAGGCCGAUUCACCAUCUCCUGGGACAAGGCCAGCAGCCUCCUGAGUUUGCAAAUGAACAGCCUGAAAACCGAGGACACGGCCCUCUAUUACUGUGCUACAGACACAGUGAGAGAAACCACAUUCUCUGCCUGUCAGAAACCCUGGGAGGAUUUCUGGGCUGCAGCUGGCUGGGGAAGCAGAGCAGCAGAGACCACAGAAAACAGCCCUGGCCUCUACGACUAAUCAUUAAUUCUAUUA